GGGCUCUACCACUAACAUCAACACGGAAAUAGCAUCCCAUCAUAUAAGAACCAACAUCAAAUUCAAGCACAUUUACUGGUCUAUUCCAUUUUUUCUCUCUCGUUUAUUUCAUUUCAAAUCCUCUCCUAUCAACCCUACAGGGAGGGAGAAGAAACAAACUGUCUUGGUGCGCUAAAAAGAUCUCUCUCUUCAAAGGGAGAAGCCCACUCCCGAGAACCACCACUAGAUGCCUCUGCUGUUGAAGCUCGUUCCUGAAGCCCAGGUAUCGAGACACCACCACCACCAACAUUAGACAGAGCAGGUCUCAUCGCAGAUGUAACACCCAAGCCAGGGGUAAAUGAAUCAUAUGUACGAACAUUGUUUUGCAUUAAAGGGUUCAUUCCUGGCCACAUCCCACCUGCUCUUGAAGAUGAAGACCCGCGAUCU
RNAcentral lists this unclassified non-coding RNA (426 nucleotides) under Hevea brasiliensis (rubber tree). Lineage: Eukaryota; Viridiplantae; Streptophyta; Magnoliopsida; Malpighiales; Euphorbiaceae. The record is from RNAcentral.